CGCCAGGAUGGAAUACUUUAUUCACAUGAACAGACCCUGGCCCGGCCUGCCUGCUGCAGCUGCUCUCAGCUCCUCGAUGGAGCGAACAAGGGAGGAUUUCUUCAUCGGCUUGCUUCAAAACCCCCAGCACCAUCAGACCCCGCAGACAAGUGCAGACAGUUCGGCUUUGUCUGGGCAAGAGCGAGGAGGGGCAGGGGAGGCUGCGGGGCUGGCAGAGCAGGGAGCAGGGCUCCAGCCCCACAGCCUGUGCACAUGCAGCAGCCACAAAGCCUUCCUGCAGCCCCUCUCACCACCACACACGUCAGCAGAGCUGGGUUCUGGUUUGCGUGCAAGCACGGCAGCACCCAGCGGUGGCGAAGGAUCGGUGCCAAGGGGUCACUUCUGUCACCUCCCGGGUGAUGGGACCCUCACAGCACACCCUGCCCACUGACAAGCACCCUCCCCAAACAUUACAGUAAAAGGAAAAACCUGCCGGGACGUGCAGGAUUGGGUAGAGAACAGUUUCUGUGCCCGGCGGCCAGGCGGGGGCUGGCAUCCCCCAGCUGGGGCACAGGGCCAGUGGGACCCCACGGCCAUCCCCAGCCCUCAGGGCUUCAUCCUGCUCAGUCUGAUGUCGCGCUCAAUCUCGAACUGCCUGUGGUCCACACGCUCCAGGAAUGCCUUCCUCUCGAUGUACCUGUGGGGAGCAGAGGCAGAGGUGGUGUUAGCAGCACCUGUGACUGGGACAAGGGGACCCAAAGGGACGGGCAGAGGGAAGGGGUGGCUACCUCCGCCCUCCCGCUCUGUGCACC
Molecule: long non-coding RNA, 791 nt
Filed under: Gallus gallus (chicken)
Lineage: Eukaryota; Metazoa; Chordata; Aves; Galliformes; Phasianidae
Description: long non-coding RNA NONGGAT001834
Source: RNAcentral